This 542-nucleotide long non-coding RNA is filed under the name Phascolarctos cinereus (koala). RNAcentral describes it as "lncRNA (ENSPCIG00000036946.1)". The record is from RNAcentral. Lineage: Eukaryota; Metazoa; Chordata; Mammalia; Diprotodontia; Phascolarctidae.
UUAAAAAUUACUUAAUAAUUAAUUUAUCAUUUUUUUCUACCUUUUGUAGGGAGAUCCUGGUGGAAUUAUAGGACCUCCUGGAUAUCCAGGUCCAAAAGGUGAAGCAGGUCCCCCAGGUAUAAGCCUGCCUGGUGAACCAGGCUUUGAUGGAAUUCCAGGGACACCUGGUCCACGAGGGCCAAAGGUAGGAAAAUGAUAAGACUUCUACAUUAAAAGAAAUUGACAAUGUAUGGCAGCAGAAAUAUGUUCUCCUUGAGGUAUACAUUAGUGGAAAUCUGUCAUUUCACAGGGUGAAAGAGGACUGCCAGGUGUUCAUGGACUCCCUGGUGACAUCGGACCUCCAGGAAUGGGAAUUCCUGGCCAACCAGGAUCCAGAGGACCCUCUGGAGAGCCAGGUAUUCAGGGUCCUAGAGGCCUCCCUGGGUUACCAGGAACUCCAGGGACCGAUGUGAGUAACAGGUUUACAUUCUAAUAUUUUACAUUAAUCCUAUCUUCAUUUGAGGAAUUUAAAAGAUGAUGUUCUCUUUUUUAGGGAGCUCCAG